UGAAACUUCAAAAUAACAUUAAAAGGGAAUAUGAGUUUUCAUGUUUACCGCCGAAGACCUAAGUUUAAUAACAACUGAGACACAAACUGGGGCAUCUCUGGCUCUUGGAGGCUUCAUCUGGCCAUGGACAACCCUCCAGAGAAAUGGGUAACUGAACAAUUGACAACCAACAUGUGAAGCAGUUGGGAGAAUGGAUGCACCAGCUGGCAAAGAGCAUCUGGAUGAGGCAGCUACCACCCUGUGGAGGCUUGUACUGUGAAUAUCCAUGAGUGUCAGAGGGGAUUCGCCCAUUCAAAGACUACCACGUGUACAGAGGUGAUUCCUGAACCCUCUGGGAUGGUCCAGAAGAAACUAUAGGCUUCGGAGAGAAGAGAUAUAAAAGGGCAAGACAGACUCAAUGGCUGCAAUCACUCAGUAGCCGGUUUCCUGCACAACACCGCCUCCUGCUGGACACAGUUACCAAGUACAUCCCUUUUUAAAAGGAACCUAAACUUGUUACUGACCCAUACAGGUCCUGUGACCCUCCAACCUGACAUCCCCAUUUUGGGAUGCAUCAACUUGGAUUUAGUGGUUAUCAAGGGAAGGGUACAAAAGGCCUUACUAGUGAGAUGGAAAUGCUAUGUUCAACAACACAGCUGGCCUAGCCCUAACGUCUGGGUUUUACAAGAAAGAGUGGCAGCAAUCCAUUUGGGAAAACUUCAUUCCUCAGUUCGUCACCUAAAAAAAAACUAGCUCAGGAGGGCCUUCAAUUCACAGAGGGUCCCCUAAGUGUUCCUGCCUGGUUGUCUGAGGGUUUGACUAUGCUGACACCUGAUGGUGUCCGCGUUCAACUUCAGCGCCAGCUAUGCAGAAUCAAAAAAGCAGGUGUGGUCGUUCUGCUCCAUGGGCAGAACUCAAGACAGUGCUAAUAGUCCUGGCCAACACCUUCCCUGAUGAAACUUGGUACAUUUUUACUGCCUUUUGUGCUGUUGUCAAGGGCCUAGCUGUCUUGUCUGCAAGAUGGGCAGACAUCCUUCUAUGGAGCUGCAAACUGUAGAAACAAAUUCAGCUGCCAAUCACACAGCCUGGGUCAUCAUGGAGACGCUUGUGGUAAAGUCCCAUCUAAUAAGAGCAACUGGAAUCAAGCUUCUGAUCCAUCCUGCACUGACCAUAUAACCACCACCACCACCACCCCCAGAUCAUUGUACCAAUUAUGGCAACACAUCCACCAUAAGGACUGGGCACGAAAUAAAGAGUUGUAUGUUUCUGAUGUGGAAGCCACCGCUACAUACCAGCCUUGUGACACCUCCUGAGAGUAUAGCUGUUUGUCUUACAUUAUAGAGGCCACAUUGCACAAGCAUUGCUCCCACCUGCUCCUGGAUGAUUGGCUACCUCAGUCCUUUGACUCCCUCUCUGGACUGUCACUGGUGCCUUACUGCUGGGAGCACAUUUUCAAGUUAUAGUGUUGCUAUCCUAGUCUGACCAGGACACUCUGGCACACCAUUUUGGCCCUUGUAACUAAACCAUGUCAAGUUUUUGGCAUUUCAGGCCAUCUACAGUCUGACAAUGAUGUAACCUUUGUUGUAAAGCCACCCAACAAUGAGCCAAUAGUCAAGGUAUAUGGUGGCCAUGCCAUGCUCCCAGGCAUCCCGUAUUAUUGAGCACUGGAAUGGCCUCUUCAAAAAUAAACCAAAAAAGCUUCUGAUUGCCUCCCUUUUUUCCUUUUGAUCAACACACCUUGGUGAGGCAGUGAGGUCAUUGAAUGCAGCUGUCCCCAAACAAGAAUUAUCUCUUCUCAGCAAUGUCCUGGGUAAUUAUCAGGACAAAAGAAGUAGAAGGUUAUAAAGACUUAUUCUGAAGAUUUAGGAUUUUGACUAUUUCUGGGCAUUGUGCUUCCAUCCUCCCAUCCCCCAACAAUAACCCCAGACCAGCCAAGUUGGCACACCCUCCAGGUUUUAGCCUGGCAAAGGGAGCCUACAGGGUUCAAACUUAAUUCUGGUUUAGCUGCCUGGAUUCUCCUGAUGGAUUUGACUCAUGCAAACUUUUGAGACGGAAGAGUCAUCAGAGGUCAGCAAACUGCGGCUCGCGAGCCACAUGCGGC
Hipposideros armiger (great roundleaf bat) is the source of this 2080-nucleotide long non-coding RNA. RefSeq lists it as uncharacterized. NCBI's taxonomy places the organism in Eukaryota, Metazoa, Chordata, Mammalia, Chiroptera, Hipposideridae. The record is from RefSeq and is a predicted model, not a curated record. The transcript has 3 exons.